UAUUCUCAGACAGUUUUCUUCUUCUUUUUUACUUAUUUCAGUCACAGACGAGUACAGUGCAAAAAGGGAUCUCAUGUUUGAAAGGGUUUCAAAGUAUAUUGUGAGAUCAGUAUUACAAAAGAGGGAGAUCAGGAGGAGUAUGAUGAUGUGAAGAACAGCGAUGAAGAUGAGAGAAACCUGUUGGACUAUGAUGAUGUGGGGGAGGAGUCAAAUAAAGAGGGAGGAGCCAUAUGACUCGCUGACCACACCCA
This is a long non-coding RNA of Megalobrama amblycephala (Wuchang bream), 251 nucleotides long. RefSeq lists it as uncharacterized. The record is from RefSeq and is a predicted model, not a curated record. NCBI's taxonomy places the organism in Eukaryota, Metazoa, Chordata, Actinopteri, Cypriniformes, Xenocyprididae. The transcript is spliced from 3 exons.